GAUGAACGCUGGCGGCGUGCCUAAUACAUGCAAGUCGAGCGAACAGACGAGGAGCUUGCUCCUCUGACGUUAGCGGCGGACGGGUGAGUAACACGUGGAUAACCUACCUAUAAGACUGGGAUAACUUCGGGAAACCGGAGCUAAUACCGGAUAAUAUAUUGAACCGCAUGGUUCAAUAGUGAAAGACGGUUUUGCUGUCACUUAUAGAUGGAUCCGCGCCGCAUUAGCUAGUUGGUAAGGUAACGGCUUACCAAGGCAACGAUGCGUAGCCGACCUGAGAGGGUGCUCGGCCACACUGGAACUGAGACACGGUCCAGACUCCUACGGGAGGCAGCAGUAGGGAAUCUUCCGCAAAGGGCGAAAGCUUGACGGAGCAACGCCGCGUGAGUGAUGAAGGUCUUCGGAUCGUAAAACUCUGUUAUUAGGGAAGAACAAAUGUGUAAGUAACUAUGCACGUCUUGACGGUACCUAAUCAGAAAGCCACGGCUAACUACGUG
This 497-nucleotide ribosomal RNA is filed under the name uncultured bacterium. RNAcentral's name for it is "partial 16S ribosomal RNA". It matches the Rfam family "Bacterial small subunit ribosomal RNA", at positions 28 to 507 of the family's 1533-position model. The record is from RNAcentral.